This 371-nucleotide ribosomal RNA is filed under the name uncultured bacterium. RNAcentral's name for it is "bacterial SSU rRNA". It matches the Rfam family "Bacterial small subunit ribosomal RNA", at positions 527 to 896 of the family's 1533-position model. The record is from RNAcentral.
GUAGGGUGCGAGCGUUGCCCGGAUUUAUUGGGCGUAAAGGGCGCGUAGGCGGCUCGGCACGUCCGUUGUGAAAUCGCCCGGCUCAACUGGGCGGGGUCAGCGGAUACGGUCGAGCUUGAGCAAGCUAGGGGGUAAUGGAAUUCCCGGUGUAGUGGUGGAAUGCGUAGAUAUCGGGAGGAACACCAGUGGCGAAGGCGGUUACCUGGGGCUUUGCUGACGCUGAUGCGCGAAAGCGUGGGGAGCGAUCCGGAUUAGAUACCCGGGUAGUCCACGCCGUAAACGAUGCGGACUAGGUGUCGGGGGUAUCGACCCCCUCGGCGCCGCAGCUAACGCAUUAAGUCCGCCGCCUGGGGACUACGGCCGCAAGGCUA